UGAUGAGGUUCUAAACUCUUAUGACCGGGUUCUAAACAUUUUUGAUGAGGUAGGGAAGUAAUUUUAACACCGGUUCUUCCUGAAUGAGGGACCCAUCGCUUCUGAUAAGAGUCCAGUUUCCAGUUCUGAUCGUGUCUCAGUCCUUGGAUUCCAUGGGAAGGAGGAUCUUUGGUUCCGUGGUCAUUUCAGAGUUAUGGGUGCAAGAUGGAAAGUGGGAAGAAGCUUGUCUAAAAGGGAGGUGGAGAGAGACCCAAGGCUUUCGUUCUACAGUUGCCAAUGACAUCAGUGUGGUCAAAUCCACCUCGGUGGCCCCAAUCACAGCCUCGAUUACCUUGUGAUGUCACACCUG
RNAcentral lists this long non-coding RNA (349 nucleotides) under Equus caballus (horse). RNAcentral describes it as "lncRNA (ENSECAG00000054613.1)". Lineage: Eukaryota; Metazoa; Chordata; Mammalia; Perissodactyla; Equidae. The record is from RNAcentral.